AUUGAACGCUGGCGGCAUGCCUUACACAUGCAAGUCGAACGGCAGCACGGGGGCAACCCUGGUGGCGAGUGGCGAACGGGUGAGUAACAUAUCGGAACGUGCCCUGGAGUGGGGGAUAACUAGUCGAAAGAUUAGCUAAUACCGCAUACGAUCUACGGAUGAAAGUGGGGGAUCGCAAGACCUCAUGCUCGUGGAGCGGCCGAUAUCUGAUUAGCUAGUUGGUGGGGUAAUGGCCUACCAAGGCAUCGAUCAGUAGCUGGUCUGAGAGGACGACCAGCCACACUGGGACUGAGACACGGCCCAGACUCCUACGGGAGGCAGCAGUGGGGAAUUUUGGACAAUGGGCGCAAGCCUGAUCCAGCAAUGCCGCGUGAGUGAAGAAGGCCUUCGGGUUGUAAAGCUCUUUUGUCAGGGAAGAAACGGUGAGGGCUAAUAUCCUUUGCUAAUGACGGUACCUGGAGAAUAAGCACCGGCUAACUACGUGCCAGCAGCCGCGGUAAUACGUAGGGUGCAAGCGUUAAUCGGAAUUACUGGGCGUAAAGCGUGCGCAGGCGGUUGUGCAAGACCGAUGUGAAAUCCCCGGGCUUAACCUGGGAAUGGCAUUGGUGACUGCACGGCUAGAGUGUGUCAGAGGGGGGUAGAAUUCCACGUGUAGCAGUGAAAUGCGUAGAGAUGUGGAGGAAUACCGAUGGCGAAGGCAGCCCCCUGGGAUAACACUGACGCUCAUGCACGAAAGCGUGGGGAGCAAACAGGAUUAGAUACCCUGGUAGUCCACGCCCUAAACGAUGUCAACUAGUUGUCGGGUCUUAAUUGACUUGGUAACGCAGCUAACGCGUGAAGUUGACCGCCUGGGGAGUACGGUCGCAAGAUUAAAACUCAAAGGAAUUGACGGGGACCCGCACAAGCGGUGGAUGAUGUGGAUUAAUUCGAUGCAACGCGAAAAACCUUACCUACCCUUGACAUGGCAGGAAUCCCGGAGAGAUUCGGGAGUGCUCGAAAGAGAACCUGCACACAGGUGCUGCAUGGCUGUCGUCAGCUCGUGUCGUGAGAUGUUGGGUUAAGUCCCGCAACGAGCGCAACCCUUGUCAUUAGUUGCUACGAAAGGGCACUCUAAUGAGACUGCCGGUGACAAACCGGAGGAAGGUGGGGAUGACGUCAAGUCCUCAUGGCCCUUAUGGGUAGGGCUUCACACGUCAUACAAUGGUACAUACAGAGGGCCGCCAACCCGCGAGGGGGAGCUAAUCCCAGAAAGUGUAUCGUAGUUCGGAUUGCAGUCUGCAACUCGACUGCAUGAAGUUGGAAUCGCUAGUAAUCGCGGAUCAGCAUGUCGCGGUGAAUACGUUCCCGGGUCU
This 1352-nucleotide ribosomal RNA is filed under the name uncultured bacterium. RNAcentral's name for it is "bacterial SSU rRNA". It matches the Rfam family "Bacterial small subunit ribosomal RNA", at positions 28 to 1381 of the family's 1533-position model. The record is from RNAcentral.